CCUACGGGAGGCAGCAGUAGGGAAUCUUCGGCAAUGGACGGAAGUCUGACCGAGCAACGCCGCGUGGGUGAAGAAGGUUUUCGGAUCGUAAAGCUCUGUUGUAAGAGAAGAACGAGUGUGAGAGUGGAAAGUUCACACUGUGACGGUAUCUUACCAGAAAGGGACGGCUAACUACGUGCCAGCAGCCGCGGUAAUACGUAGGUCCCGAGCGUUGUCCGGAUUUAUUGGGCGUAAAGCGAGCGCAGGCGGUUAGAUAAGUCUGAAGUUAAAGGCUGUGGCUUAACCAUAGUACGCUUUGGAAACUGUUUAACUUGAGUGCAGAAGGGGAGAGUGGAAUUCCAUGUGUAGCGGUGAAAUGCGUAGAUAUAUGGAGGAACACCGGUGGCGAAAGCGGCUCUCUGGUCUGUAACUGACGCUGAGGCUCGAAAGCGUGGGGAGCAAACAGGAUUAGAUACCCUGGUAGUCCACGCCGUAAACGAUGAGUGCUAGGUGUUGGGUCCUUUCCGGGACUCAGUGCCGUAGCUAACGCAUUAAGCACUCCGCCUGGGGAGUACGACCGCAAGGCUGAAACUCAAAGGAAUUGACGG
RNAcentral lists this ribosomal RNA (587 nucleotides) under uncultured bacterium. RNAcentral describes it as "bacterial SSU rRNA". It matches the Rfam family "Bacterial small subunit ribosomal RNA", at positions 338 to 916 of the family's 1533-position model. The record is from RNAcentral.